Non-coding RNA from Stegodyphus mimosarum, 73 nucleotides. Lineage: Eukaryota; Metazoa; Arthropoda; Arachnida; Araneae; Eresidae. The record is from Rfam.
GUCUUCAUGGUGUAGUGGUCAGCACGCUCGGCGCGUAUUCGAGAGGCCCGUGGUUCGAGUCCAGGUGAGGGCA